Molecule: transfer RNA, 73 nt
Filed under: Pelecanus crispus (Dalmatian pelican)
Lineage: Eukaryota; Metazoa; Chordata; Aves; Pelecaniformes; Pelecanidae
Rfam family: tRNA
About the family: Transfer RNA (tRNA) molecules are approximately 80 nucleotides in length. Their secondary structure includes four short double-helical elements and three loops (D, anti-codon, and T loops).
Source: Rfam by way of RNAcentral
GCGGGAGUAGCUCAGCUGGCAGAGCGUGAGACUGAAGGUCUCAAGGUCCCUGCUUCAACCCCGGCCAUCAGCA